Molecule: ribosomal RNA, 501 nt
Filed under: uncultured bacterium
Lineage: Bacteria
Description: partial 16S ribosomal RNA
Rfam family: Bacterial small subunit ribosomal RNA
Source: RNAcentral
AUUGAACGCUGGCGGCAUGCCUUACACAUGCAAGUCGAACGGCAGCACGGGUGCUUGCACCUGGUGGCGAGUGGCGAACGGGUGAGUAAUACAUGGGAACGUACCUUAUCGUGGGGGAUAACGCAGCGAAAGCUGUGCUAAUACCGCAUACGCCCUGAGGGGGAAAGCGGGGGAUCGAAAGACCUCGCGCGAUUAGAGCGGCCGAUGCCUGAUUAGCUUGUUGGUGAGGUAAAAGCUCACCAAGGCGAUGAUCAGUAGCUGGUCUGAGAGGACGAUCAGCCACACUGGGACUGAGACACGGCCCAGACUCCUACGGGAGGCAGCAGUGGGGAAUUUUGGACAAAGGGGGCAACCCUGAUCCAGCAAUGCCGCGUGAGUGAAGAAGGCCUUCGGGUUGUAAAGCUCUUUUGUCAGGGAAGAAACAGCAGCUCUAGCACAGUCUGCGAAUGACGGUACCUGAAGAAUAAGCACCGGCUAACUACGUGCCAGCCGCCGCGGUAA